Molecule: non-coding RNA, 139 nt
Organism: Triticum aestivum (bread wheat)
Lineage: Eukaryota; Viridiplantae; Streptophyta; Magnoliopsida; Poales; Poaceae
Source: Rfam
GUGAUGCAAAACGGGGAAAUUGUUUCACAGGUUCUGGCCGGCCUCGACCUCGACUACAACCCGGUCGUGUCGACCCUUGCUGCACGGGUGGAGCCUGUCACCGUCCAAGAGCUGUACACACAGCUGUUAAGUUUUGAUG